This is a long non-coding RNA of Hemicordylus capensis (graceful crag lizard), 326 nucleotides long. RefSeq lists it as uncharacterized. The record is from RefSeq and is a predicted model, not a curated record. Lineage: Eukaryota; Metazoa; Chordata; Lepidosauria; Squamata; Cordylidae. The transcript is spliced from 2 exons.
UCCUGUGACUUAACUGGUUGCUGCCGUUUUUCUUUUUGUUAUUUUCUUGGAUGGGUAGGUGGCCUGGCUUCUGGCCAUCUGCCCUCCUCCUGGCUGCUAAGCAUCAGUGUGUGUGUUGCUUGGCCUGAUUGCCUGAGGUCCCUCCUGGUCAGACUGCAGCUGAAGAUGCCAAAAGAAGAUGAUGUUGGAUUGCUGUGGAGAAAAUCUGAAUUCCUGCUAGGAACUGCUGAUUCAUUCAAGGACUAUCUUCUUUCAAUUCAAGCUCUUGUUAAGUUUUCCAUUACUUACUUGAUCAAGUAGUGCAAGAGACCUUUUUUCAAGACCCA